Long non-coding RNA from Macaca mulatta (Rhesus monkey), 1711 nucleotides. The record is from Ensembl. NCBI's taxonomy places the organism in Eukaryota, Metazoa, Chordata, Mammalia, Primates, Cercopithecidae.
UAGGCUUGAAUCCUUGUUUCAGGGGCAGCUUCCAGGGGAACCCAAAUUUAGUACCUUGCCUAGGGGCGCUUACCUAGUAAGUGGAGAACCAGAAUUCAGACCCAGAGCACAUGGAGUGACCGCCCAGGGGUCCUGCACUGUAGAUGUGUCGGCCACUCCUGGCUUCUGCUGCUAGUGCCUUGGCGAUAGGGACUAGCUCUGGAGGGUCCUCAGCUCAAUGCCUUCCAUGUGCUAGGUGCUCAGUAUGUGAUGCUUCCCUUCUACUUCCUGCCCUCUCUUAUGGAGGCUUGGCUUUGUCAAGCUUAACUCUCCUGUAUUAGACUGAGACUUAAGAGCAUGAUCUCUGGAUUUAGGCUUCCUGCAUUCAAAUCCUGGCUCUGGGACUCACUAUCAGGUUGAUGUUGAAUAAGUUAUUUAACCAUUUUUCUGCCUCUGUUUCUUCCUCUAUAAAAUGGGGAUAAUUUUAGCCACCUAACAGUCUCAUGAGGAGAACUAAACAAAUGUCUGUAUAGUUGUGGUAAACUCCCAGCACACAGUGAGUCUAGAGAAGGGUUGCUUUACUCUGAUUAGUUCAUGCCUCUCCCCAGUCUCUCUGAACACACCCACCAGAAGGGUACAAAUAUUAGGCAGUCAGUGCCUGCCAUGAUUUGAGAGAUGACUUUGAGAGAUUGUUUUUCAAUUCCCAGGGCACCCUAGGUAUCCUUACCAGUCAUGUAUGGCUUCAGAUGAGCUCUCGUCUUACCUUGACAACCCAGAGAACAGACCCUUUUCGGGGUGGGAAGGUGGAUAAGCAGCUUAGAAGAUGGGAGUAUGCUUCGUGAACUUCACUUUUUUUUUUUUUUGCCAAGAACAAAUCCUGGCUGCCUUCCCAGCAGGUGCUCAGUCACGGUCACAAAGAUCCAACCUACUCAUGGGACCAACAAAAGAACCAAGACCCAAAGGAUGGCGUUGGCCUGUGCAGGGCCACACUGUGUGUACAUGGCAGAGCCAGUGCUAGGACCCAGGCUCCUACACAAGACACCGGUUCCCCUGACAUCAGAAUCUCAGGCAAGGACUGGCUUGAGGUAGUUCGUGUGAGAGGUGACACCCGAGAAUAGGAGACAGGGAGCCGGAAGAGUGAGGCAGGGAGAGAGAAGCCAAUACAAGGCCGUGCAGUCCAGGCUGCCAUGGUGGCAACAGGGAUGUGAAUCUGCCGAGAUGUUUGAGGAGCAUAGGGAAAGCCUCCCACAAUUGCCCAUCAGCUCCUAUUCUCCAUUUGUCAAGGGGUGCAAGAACUGGGUGCUAACUUCUCUGGACUUCUGAGCUGCACGUGCAUGGGGGCCCAGUGAGCUCUGUGGGUGCCCCCCACCCCCCCACCCCCGCCAACCGCAUAUAGGCAAAGACUCUGGCAUGUCCUUGAGCAUAACCUGUGAGUGCAAAGGAAGAGCCUGCACAGAUAGCUGUGGUGAGGUCAGAAGGGUCAGGAGCAGAGGUGUCAAGUGCAUUCCAGCAGCAAAACACACCUGCAUUUCCAUCUGCUUUCAUUAGGUAACUGCUUGAUAAUUCAGCUCACCUGAGCUCCCUGCCCCUGGCAGGAUUGUUCACUUUGAAUAGUAACACAGCAGUCUCCCUUUAUUUGUGGGGGAUACUUUCCAAGAUCCCCCGUGGAUGCCUGAAGCCAAGGAUAGUACCAAACUCUAUACAUGUUAUGAUUUUUCCUAUCCAUACAGAC